AUUGAACGCUGGCGGCAGGCCUAACACAUGCAAGUCGAACGGUAACAGGAAGAAGCUUGCUUCUUUGCUGACGAGUGGCGGACGGGUGAGUAAUGUCUGGGAAACUGCCUGCUGGAGGGGGAUAACUACUGGAAACGGUAGCUAAUACCGCAUAACGUCGCAAGACCAAAGAGGGGGACCUUCGGGCCUCUUGCCAUCGGAUGUGCCCAGAUGGGAUUAGCUUGUUGGUGGGGUAACGUCUCACCAAGGCGACGAUCCCUAGCUGGUCUGAGAGGAUGACCAGCCACACUGGAACGGAGACACGGUCCAGACUCCUGCGAGAGGCAGCAGUGGGGAAUAUUGCACAAUGGGCGCAAGCCUGAUGCAGCCAUGCCGCGUGUAUGAAGAAGGCCUUCGGGUUGUAAAGUACUUUCAGCGGGGAGGAAGGGAGUAAAGUUAAUACCUUUGCUCAUUGACGUUACCCGCAGAAGAAGCACCGGCUAACUCCGUG
Molecule: ribosomal RNA, 490 nt
Filed under: uncultured bacterium
Lineage: Bacteria
Description: partial 16S ribosomal RNA
Rfam family: Bacterial small subunit ribosomal RNA
Source: RNAcentral